This 440-nucleotide ribosomal RNA is filed under the name uncultured bacterium. RNAcentral's name for it is "partial 16S ribosomal RNA". It matches the Rfam family "Bacterial small subunit ribosomal RNA", at positions 339 to 795 of the family's 1533-position model. The record is from RNAcentral.
CUACGGGAUGCUGCAGUGGGGAAUAUUGCACAAUGGGGGAAACCCUGAUGCAGCAACGCCGCGUGAGUGAAGAAGGCUUUCGAGUCGUAAAGCUCUGUCCUAUGGGAAGAAUAGAUGACGGUACCAUAGGAGGAAGCCCCGGCUAACUACGUGCCAGCAGCCGCGGUAAUACGUAGGGGGCAAGCGUUAUCCGGAAUCAUUGGGCGUAAAGGGUGCGUAGGCGGCCAGACAAGUCAGAGGUGAAAGGCUACGGCUUAACCGUAGUAAGCCUUUGAAACUGUUUGGCUUGAGUGCAGGAGAGGAAAGUGGAAUUCCUAGUGUAGCGGUGAAAUGCGUAGAUAUUAGGAGGAACACCAGUGGCGAAGGCGACUUUCUGGACUGUAACUGACGCUGAGGCACGAAAGCGUGGGGAGCGAACAGGAUUAGAUACCCUUGUAGUC